AUUGAACGCUGGCGGCAGGCCUAACACAUGCAAGUCGGACGGUAGCACAGGGGAGCUUGCUCCUCGGGUGACGAGUGGCGGACGGGUGAGUAAUGUCUGGGGAUCUGCCCGAUAGAGGGGGAUAACCACUGGAAACGGUGGCUAAUACCGCAUAAUGUCGCAAGACCAAAGAGGGGGACCUUCGGGCCUCUCACUAUCGGAUGAACCCAGAUGGGAUUAGCUAGUAGGCGGGGUAACGGCCCACCUAGGCGACGAUCCCUAGCGGGUCUGAGAGGAUGACCAGCCACACUGGAACUGAGACACGGUCCAGACUCCUACGGGAGGCAGCAGUGGGGAAUGUUGCACAAUGGGCGCAAGCCUGAUGCAGCCAUGCCGCGUGUAUGAAGAAGGCCUUCGGGUUGUAAAGUACUUUCAGCGGGGAGGAAGGCGAUGUGGUUAAUAACCGCGUCGAUUGACGUUACCCGCAGAAGAAGCACCGGCUAACUCCGUGCCAGCAGCCGCCGUAA
This 506-nucleotide ribosomal RNA is filed under the name uncultured bacterium. RNAcentral's name for it is "partial 16S ribosomal RNA". It matches the Rfam family "Bacterial small subunit ribosomal RNA", at positions 29 to 523 of the family's 1533-position model. The record is from RNAcentral.